RNAcentral lists this ribosomal RNA (464 nucleotides) under Vreelandella stevensii. Its description in RNAcentral is "partial 16S ribosomal RNA". It matches the Rfam family "Bacterial small subunit ribosomal RNA", at positions 338 to 794 of the family's 1533-position model. Lineage: Bacteria; Pseudomonadati; Pseudomonadota; Gammaproteobacteria; Oceanospirillales; Halomonadaceae. The record is from RNAcentral.
CCUACGGGUGGCUGCAGUGGGGAAUAUUGGACAAUGGGCGAAAGCCUGAUCCAGCCAUGCCGCGUGUGUGAAGAAGGCCUUCGGGUUGUAAAGCACUUUCAGUGGGGAAGAAAGCCUUGGGGCUAAUACCCUCGAGGAAGGACAUCACCCACAGAAGAAGCACCGGCUAACUCCGUGCCAGCAGCCGCGGUAAUACGGAGGGUGCGAGCGUUAAUCGGAAUUACUGGGCGUAAAGCGCGCGUAGGCGGUCUGAUAAGCCGGUUGUGAAAGCCCCGGGCUCAACCUGGGAACGGCAUCCGGAACUGUCAGGCUAGAGUGCAGGAGAGGAAGGCAGAAUUCCCGGUGUAGCGGUGAAAUGCGUAGAGAUCGGGAGGAAUACCAGUGGCGAAGGCGGCCUUCUGGACUGACACUGACGCUGAGGUGCGAAAGCGUGGGUAGCAAACAGGAUUAGAUACCCCAGUAGU